Molecule: ribosomal RNA, 491 nt
Filed under: uncultured bacterium
Lineage: Bacteria
Description: partial 16S ribosomal RNA
Rfam family: Bacterial small subunit ribosomal RNA
Source: RNAcentral
AGUGAACGCUGGCGGUAGGCCUAACACAUGCAAGUCGAACGGCAGCACAGUAAGAGCUUGCUCUUACGGGUGGCGAGUGGCGGACGGGUGAGGAAUACAUCGGAAUCUACUUUUUCGUGGGGGAUACGGAGGGAAACUUACGCUAAUACCGCAUACGACCUACGGGUGAAAGCAGGGGAUCUUCGGACCUUGCGCGAUUGAAUGAGCCGAUGUCGGAUUAGCUAGUUGGCGGGGUAAAGGCCCACCAAGGCGACGAUCCGUAGCUGGUCUGAGAGGAUGAUCAGCCACACUGGAACUGAGACACGGUCCAGACUCCUACGGGAGGCAGCAGUGGGGAAUAUUGGACAAUGGGCGCAAGCCUGAUCCAGCCAUACCGCGUGGGUGAAGAAGGCCUUCGGGUUGUAAAGCCCUUUUGUUGGGAAAGAAAAGCAGCAGGUUAAUACCCCGCUGUUCUGACGGUACCCAAAGAAUAAGCACCGGCUAACUUCGUG